This is a long non-coding RNA of Oreochromis niloticus (Nile tilapia), 6659 nucleotides long. RefSeq lists it as uncharacterized. NCBI's taxonomy places the organism in Eukaryota, Metazoa, Chordata, Actinopteri, Cichliformes, Cichlidae. The transcript has 4 exons. The record is from RefSeq and is a predicted model, not a curated record.
UCCUCGUUCUGUGAUGUGAAACCGAAAGUGUGUUUUUAUUAUGAAUUUAAAUGACAACUGGCGCUAAAGUAGCCUGCACACAUUGCAACCGCUUCAUAACACACCUUAUGUUGACAUAAAAAUGAAGCAACAUAUACGCGAAACGGACCCGUUUUUAAAAAAAAUCAUAUGCUGGGCUCAUCCACACGAGACAGUUUCUCAGACCUCUUGUCCAGAAGGAAAUAAAGCACAAGAAAUGCUACAUUGGAGCAUGGUGAAUAUGUAUUGCUUGGCAACCUUCAAGAAAUGGUUCAAUUUUUGGUUCAGAUUCUUCCUUGCCCUCGGUAAAGGGACCUCCGAGAUGGAAAAGAUUAUAUUUGUGCAAAUCACGUGUGCAAAGCCCAAAUAAAGCAUGAAAAUUACACAUCUUCACUUGAUCAACCUGCUUUGUUUUUUGAAAUGAAAAGGGAGGUUUCUGUGGGAACUGGUUUAAAUUGAAUUCAAAGUGUACACCUUUCCUUUCACGCUUCCUCAGCUUACCCUUAGCCAUUUUUUCUUUUUUAAUCCAUUCUUCCGCCAUCAUCAGCCUCUCUUUCUUUCGGCAUUCAUCUGUGAAAUGCCUGGCAUGGGCAAAGGUAAUUGCAAGUGACUUUUUUGUAAUUCAAACUAAGGAGAGAUUGACAGCAAUAUAAAGGCUCUGUUAAAAAAAAUCAUUGGUAAUUGGUAUGAUUAUACACUUCUGUAGAGCAAGAAGUCAGCAGAGAUAUGAAUUCUCCUUUUCCACAAUGCUUACUACUUUUGAUUAGCAUUUUCUUCCCUCCAGAUGCAUUGCAUUGCAGAAUUGUACAUACGUUCAUUAAGUCUCGUGUAAACUUUCAAACCUCCACGCUUAACCACCCGUAGUUUCAUUUUAACACAGACAUGUAACUCAUUGUAACAUGUUCUGAAGUAUAAACCCAGUGUUAUGUAUUGCAGGCAGGAUAUUUAAAUGCUGUAACAGUGAUAUAAAGAUGCUAUGAACCUACCGAAUUAUGAUAAAAAAAUCUAAGCUUUAAGGACAGGAUUAAAAAAAUACCAACAAAAGUAGCACACUUCAGAUUUAUUAGCUCAGUCUGACCCAGGAUUACAUUCAAAGACCGAGUAACUACUGCGCUGUAAAUCAAGCUGUGCCCAGCAGGAGCAGGAUCACAAAGUCAAUAGCCUUCAGGGUCAAGGGUCAUUGGGAGGAAGCUCAAAAUCAGGCAGCUGCUAGUUAUAUCUUUAUCUACACUAAAUGACACAGUUGUUAUACUAACAAUGUGUUUACAAUGUAAUUUAUAAUACCAACAAAUAAAUAUAAUGACAUUCAAGCAUGUUCGAAUCAUCUUUCAAUCUCAGUACUGUGUUCUGGUAUUUCAUUAAAGGAAACAUAAGUAAGCAUUUUUUUUUUACCUGUUUAAAAUGCUUAGAUUUGUAGCUGGGCUGGCCUUUACAGUUUGGUCCAGCUGCUCCAAAAAACUUUCUGCAAGAACUCCUAAAUUUCACUUGACCAGCCUUAUAACUUCCAAGUUAUUUCUCCCAUGGUUGUUUAGCCAAGGGGGCCAAAGCCUAUUAAGUAGUUUGCUGGCAGAAAUAACAUAGGCAGCCUUACUAAUGGGGAGGUAUUGCUAAGAACUGAAGGAACUGUUGCUUACACUGUGUGUUUCUCUUUGGCUACAGUGAAUCACUAUGGUUAUUUCUGAAUAUCUGUGGAAAGUACCUGCUAUAAUAAGCAGGGUUUUCUGAAGUUUGUUGACUUGCAGUCAAAAGUGAUACAAUAGAAGCAACAGCAAUGACCACACAGGAGGGCAGAGCUGUGACUCAAAGAUAGAAAGUAAGAAGCAGUAAGAAAACACAUAAAAUUUGUGGUAGGAAGCUGAACUUUAGUACUAAUUUAUCAUGAAAAAGGUGGGACGCUGUGCUGAGGACAGCAGUUACAAGGAUGUUCAACAUGUGUUCGAGUGUGUACAUUUUGAAAAUGUUACCAAUUUAUACAAUGUUUCUCUCACUCAAUUCACUGAGAUCUGUUUCAUGAACAGAAUAAUGAUGUAUCAUGGCUGUGUAUCAAAUGUCAACAUAAAAUUGUCUGUUGUCUGUCUAUACUGGUAUAAUUAAAUAAACUUGACUAAGAAGUAUCUUUAAUGUUGCCAAAAACAUAAAAUUUCCUCUAUGUUAACAAGUAGGAAUGCAGAUGACUGAGGAGACUGCGUAUGUGUAUGUGUCUGUGUAUAUAUGUCCAUGUGUGUGCACCCCAGACAGCAGGGAGAAAGAAAAGCGGCCUUUUUUACUAACAUUGAUUGGAAACAGAUGUUGGCGAAGCCAAGACAGCAAAGAAAAUGUUUCGGAAAAUUCUCAGGGCUCAGCCUUCCCUUUCUGGGCCCUGGCCCAGGCAACCAAUCAUUGCAGAGCACCCUCUGGUCUUUGGGGUGAACUAAGCACUUCUAUUGGAUGAAGACGUGAACGUGGGCGUUGGGAGCAGAUGUCCUGGGAAAGUUGCUGAAUCCCACUCAACUCACAGUAAAAGAAAGCGAAAACAUUUGCUUGGUUAACUGGACAGUGACCAAAGCAUGUUUCAAUCCAGAUGAACUCUCAGUGCAUGUAAAGCUGACAGUGAAUACAUUAGCACUGUAUUACAGAUUUAUACAUUUGAAAUGGAUUGCUUUUCAAGUUGUUAUUCAUUCAACUGCCUCACAAAAAGAAACCUAAGAAGAAUAGCCUGUAAGAAAAAUGUCUUUAAGACCUCUAAUUCUUUUCUUUCAUCUAGUCGGCUCAAAUGAAUGCGAAUGAGAGCUUCCUCGCACCCUCAUCUCCCCAUCCCUUCACACUUCUAAACCUUCAACUGCUCCUUUGCUCCUUUUCACCUCCUAACCUUCACCCUCCUGCAUUCAACUUUUUCUAUUCCAUCUCUCAUCUCUCUGCUCGUCUCUGCCCCCAGCCCCCUCUCCCUCCAUCUUUAGCACCCAGAUUCAGUCACAGUCUAGUUCACAUAUGGCCUCACCUGCACACAAAGCUCCAUCUCACUCUUUUAUUGUGCCAGUCUAUUGCCUAUUCACAGCAACGGCACAGCACAAAUCAAUCAUCUUUCCUAAUGGAAAGUCCACAUUAACAUGAGAAGACACUCCAUUUCCGUCUCAGAAUGCCAGGUCGACUGGUACCUGAGCUCCGGUCGAUGAAGAUCCAGGGCCCUGCAGGCGCUCUCAUUUCAGGUGGGAUAGCGAGGUGAUGCCGUUAGGUCCAGGGGUGGCACCGGGAGUCAAUGGUGUAUUAACUGAGGAUGUGACAAUGGCAAUAAAAAUGCAAAUUGCCAUCCAAAGCAGGGGAUGGCCUGGAUCUGCCCUUCAUAAGCCUGCAUAAUACAGUCAGCACACACCUGCUAAGACAUGCGGUUCAACACGUCUCAAACAUAACAAUACAAUGAGUGAGAGGAAGGGAGCGUGUGUGUCUAUCCUCGAGAUCAUAACACCGGUAACUAAAAGAGUUUUCUUUUUAUCACUGUCACUUCUCAUUGAUUUGUCUAGAAGUCCCCAUUAUGUACAAUUUGUAUUGGGUAAAAAAAAAAGUUAAUAUGCUAUUGAACAGCACUGGUCUCUACAACCUUUUACCAUUCUUCAAGGUAUUUUUUGUUCUCAUGAAAACGACGUCAACAUGGUUUAACACGUAUUUGACAUUUUGAAACCAACAUGCUAGACAGCACUCUUCGCCACAAUCACCAUAACACCAAAAGAGGAAAUGUUUUUUUAAAGGACUGGUGGGUGAUAUUUGUAGUAGCUCCAGAGACUUGGGCAGUUCAUACCAGGGUGCAUUGAAGCUAUUCUGGUGUUAUUAGAAAAUCUGUUGUGUCCUGUUGUUAACUGUGUGCAAAUUAAUCCAUUAUGUUUUGUCUGAUAUAUUCCAUACUAAGGUUAAAGGCCAAGUGUGUAGGAUUCAGCGUGAUUUACUAGCAAAAACUGUAUCUCUGAGUCCAGUUCAUUACACACACCCUCAAUCAUGGGAAGACUGCUGACCUGACAGCUGUCCAGAUGAUAGUUAUCAACAGCCUCCACAAGAAGGGUAAGCCACAAAAAUGAUUGCUGAAAAGGCUGGCUGUUGGUAGAGUGCUGUACUAAAGUAUAUUAAUGGAAAGUUUAGUGGAAGGGAACGUGUGGUAGCAAAAGGUACACAUUGUCUAGAAAAGUUAUUUCAAAAACUUGGGAGAGCUUCACAAAGAGUGCACUAGGCUGGUUUGAGUACAUCAAGGCUACUCUUGCAUUCCUGAUAUUAAGCCACUCCUCAACCAAAGCCGCAAGAAGUGUCUCUUUCCACAUAAAGAUAAAGUUUGCAUUUCAUCAUUUGGAAAUCAAGGCCAUACAGUCUAGAAGAGGAGAGGAAAGUCACAGAAUCCAAGGUGUUUGAAGUCCAGCGUGAAGUUUCUGCAUUCUGCGGUGAAUUGCGUUGCAAUGUCCUCUGGUGUCAGUUUGCAAUGUUUUAUCACGUCCAAAGUCAACAAAGUCAUCUACAAGUAGAUUUUAGAUUAACUCGUGCUUCCAUCUGCUGACAAACUUUACAGAGAUGCAGAUUUCCUUAUUUAGCAUCUACCUGCCAUGCCAAAACUAUGCCAAAUGUUAUUACUGUGUUUGACUCACCACCCAACUAACCUGGCCUUAACUGUCAAGAGGAAGAUGAAGGCCACUAUCAAAGCAACUUCAGUAACACCUUAGCAGUAACACCUCCAUAACACACCACACUGACGCAGUAAUUUGUUGUAAAGGAGCAUCAAUAAAUCAAUGCAUAAAUCAACACACAAGGUAAACAUUUCUGUAUAAAACUUUGUUGCUUGAUCUUGGAAAAUAUUUGACAUAUGUGUAUUAACAAAACAAUAAAUGGAAGUUUAAUUAAAAUAAACCUUCACUUUUCCAUGAUAUUCUAUUUUUUUGAGAUAGACCAGUAGUCUCUAUGAAAUGGCAAACCUCCAUAAUCCUUUAGCAGGGUCAUUUUUAAGACAAUGGUUGUAACUCUGUUUAUGAUAGUGCCUGCAUACUAUACUAACACAAGGCAGCACAACUUUGAAGGGCAAUAGGACAUGAAUAUGUCCUCUGAUAACAGUUUUUUUUUUCUCUGUUGGGCCAUAAGGACCCACAGGGACACAUUGGUUGUAUUUCAAAACUGCGUAAUGGAACCACUGAGCUGUUGUCUCGUGCGUCACAGGGAUUCUGUUUCAAUGAAGAGGAUAUAAUGUUGGGCAGUGAAGACAGAUGUAGUUAUGUUCUAUCCAUAGCAGAAUUUUAGGUCAUAAACAUUAAAGAUUGAGCUACAGAAGAAAUUAAAAGUUGGAAAAGAUUUUGGAGUUCAGUUUACAAUAACAAUCAAUUUAAGGCACUUUAUAUUUUAAGGUAAAGACCCUAAAAUAAUAUGUUGAGUGACAUAUUAUAUAUUCCAUAUUAUAUGACAUAUAAUAACAUGUAGACUGUGUUACACACUUUCCCUUCCAGUGUUGGAUUUAUGGUUGUUCCAGUUCUACUGCUUUCUUCACAGUUCAUUUAGAUGCUCUAACUCUGUAUACAUGUAGUCUAAUACGAAAAACUGAUAGAGUACAAAUACUAUAGCGUCACCACAACUUGUUCUGGUUCCAUUCAGAAACUCUGAGGAGUUUGACUAAAUGAGCCAAGGGGUGAUUUACUUAAUCUAUUAAAAAUUACUAUGUUACUUAGGGACCAGACAACAUUGCAACAUCUGUCACAUGCUUGUUAUUUAGGAUUUGUUGAAAAUGAUUCUGUAAUCUGGCACAGCAACUAUUCUGCCUAUAAUUACAUUUGGAUGUUAUACUGCUCCUUAACACUUGAUCCAAGGCAAAGGGCACAUUGUGUGUAUGUAUUUGAAUUUCCAUGUAUAAGUGUCACAUAUGUCUCUGCAACUAAUCCUAAAAUAUUUUAGAAAAUACUGAAUAUGGCUAUUGAUGAGUAAGUAAGCUCUUUAAUUGUCUAAUCUCUCACUGUUUUUUUUGUUUUGUGUCUUGCAUUUAAAUGUGUACUACUUUAAAUGAAUAAAAAAAAUAUUGUAAUUUAACCAGUUGGGAUGUUACCGAUUUUAGAUAAUGCAUACAUUGCAUUUGCAUAUAUUGCAGUCAUUAUUAUUCAUACAUUUGUAAAUGUAAUGAUUAAGCAAUAGCCUUCAUCUGACCAGAAAAUGGCUUGACAGUUAAUUGCAAGUUACUUUAAAACCUCAAAAAAUGGAGAAAUGAUCUAAUAUCCUCCCGAGACUGACAGGUGUUACACUUCUCACUUUGAACACAGGCGUCCUCUUCCUCUUAUGUCUCAGUUUUCUGUUUCUCACCUUGAGACACUGCUUAAAUCAGUGGAAGGUUUCUUUGAAUAAGGCACAAAAGGGGAGAAAGAAGAGUAGUGUGUCUGCGUGAGCCAGCUUUGUGUCUGUGGAUGAGGAAGAGCCCGGUCAGAGAGAGGGAGGUGGAAGAAGAGAAGACCCACCUGCGUAACCUCAGCUUGUCCUCUGCCAAGAACACAAAACACUGAUCCAAGAGAAGAAUACGGGUCUAAUUUUGUCAGAAGACAGCUCUAUCAUAUCAUGUGUCUUAUCACUUUACAUCAUUUUUUUUUACAUGGCAGUCUAUUGUAAGGAUUACAUUUGUCAAUAUAAAAUGUACUUGUCUAAAUAAAUACAUUUAAACC